CACACAUCUCACUCCACACAUCACCUCACUCCACGCAUCUCACUCCACACAUCUCACUCCACACAUCUCACUCCACACAUCACCUCACUCCACGCAUCUCACUCCACACAUCAUACUCCACACAUCUCACUCCACACAUCACCUCACUCCACGCAUCUCACUCCACACAUCUCCUCACUCCACGCAUCUCACUCCACACAUCUCACUCCACACAUCUCACUCCACACAUCUCCUCAUUCCACACAUCUCACUCCACACAUCACCUCACUCCACGCAUCUCACUCCACACAUCUCCUCACUCCACACAUCUCACUCCACACAUCUCCUCACUCCACACAUCUCACUCCACACAUCUCCUCACUCCACACAUCUCCUCACUCCACAGAAAUCCUCACUGUACGCAUCUCCUUAUCCCACGCCUCCCCUCGUCCCACGUCCCGUGGUCACACUCAUGUCCUCACUGCACACCUCCUGCUGCCUUCUGCAAGGUUCGACUGCUGACUUUGCUUCCCACAGCAUUUCCACUGCUUGACACAGGUGAAUGGCUCCGACCCCAUUUCUGACAGAGGGACACAAGCAGGUCAGUUGUCAGCCUUGCUCUAUGUGAAUUCAUCGUUGACUGAUGGACAGUUUUAUUCUCU
RNAcentral lists this long non-coding RNA (641 nucleotides) under Pan troglodytes (chimpanzee). RNAcentral's name for it is "long non-coding RNA NONPTRT010961". Lineage: Eukaryota; Metazoa; Chordata; Mammalia; Primates; Hominidae. The record is from RNAcentral.